GACGAACGCUGGCGGCGUGCUUAACACAUGCAAGUCGAGCGGUAAGGCCCUUUCGGGGGUACACGAGCGGCGAACGGGUGAGUAACACGUAGGUGACCUGCCCUCAGCUCUGGGAUAAGCCUGGGAAACCGGGUCUAAUACUGGAUAUGACUCCAUGACGCAUGUUGUGGGGUGGAAAGCCUUGUGCGGCUGAGGAUGGGCCCGCGGCCUAUCAGCUUGUUGGUGGGGUGANGGCCUACCAAGGCGACGACGGGUAGCCGGCCUGAGAGGGCGACCGGCCGACACUGGGACUGAGACACGGCCCAGACUCCUACGGGAGGCAGCAGUGGGGAAUCUUGCGCAAUGGGCGAAAGCCUGACGCAGCGACGCCGCGUGAGGGAUGACGGCCUCGG
RNAcentral lists this ribosomal RNA (392 nucleotides) under uncultured bacterium. RNAcentral's name for it is "bacterial SSU rRNA". It matches the Rfam family "Bacterial small subunit ribosomal RNA", at positions 28 to 420 of the family's 1533-position model. The record is from RNAcentral.